GAUGAACGCUGGCGGCGUGCUUAACACAUGCAAGUCGAACGGAAAGGCUCCUGCUUGCCGGGGUACUCGAGUGGCAACGGGGGAGUAACACGUGGGUGAUCUUCCCUGCACUUCGGGAUAAGCCUGGGAAACUGGGUCUAAUACCGGAUAGGACGAUGGUUUGGAUGCCAUUGUGGGAAGGUUUUCGGUGUGGGAUGAGCUCGCGGCCUAUCAGCUUGUUGGUGGGGUAAUGGCCUACCAAGGCGUCGACGGGUAGCCGGCCUGAGAGGGUGUACGGCCACAUUGGGACUGAGAUACGGCCCAGACUCCUACGGGAGGCAGCAGUGGGGAAUAUUGCACAAUGGGCGCAAGCCUGAUGCAGCGACGCCGCGUGGGGGAUGACGGCCUUCGGGUUGUAAACUCCUUUCGCUAGGGACGAAGCGCAAGUGACGGUACCUGGAGAAGAAGCACCGGCUAACUACGUG
RNAcentral lists this ribosomal RNA (464 nucleotides) under uncultured bacterium. Its description in RNAcentral is "partial 16S ribosomal RNA". It matches the Rfam family "Bacterial small subunit ribosomal RNA", at positions 28 to 507 of the family's 1533-position model. The record is from RNAcentral.